UCCAUGAUGGCCGAGAUAGGCAUCGAGCUUUUAACUCGACCACAGUGACUAAACUUCAGGAU
RNAcentral lists this transfer RNA (62 nucleotides) under Elliptio icterina. RNAcentral's name for it is "tRNA-Lys". The record is from RNAcentral. Lineage: Eukaryota; Metazoa; Mollusca; Bivalvia; Unionida; Unionidae.